AUACGGAGGGUGCAAGCGUUAUCCGGAUUCACUGGGUUUAAAGGGUGCGUAGGUGGGUUGGUAAGUCAGUGGUGAAAUCUUCGAGCUUAACUCGGAAACUGCCAUUGAUACUAUCAGUCUUGAAUAUUGUGGAGGUUAGCGGAAUAUGUCAUGUAGCGGUGAAAUGCUUAGAUAUGACAUAGAACACCAAUUGCGAAGGCAGCUGGCUACACAUAUAUUGACACUGAGGCACGAAAGCGUGGGGAUCAAACAGGAUUAGAUACCCUGGUAGUCCACGCCCUAAACUAUGGAUACUCGACAUACGCGAUACACUGUGUGUGUCUGAGCGAAAGCAUUAAGUAUCCCACCUGGGAAGUACGAUCGCAAGAUUGA
Molecule: ribosomal RNA, 372 nt
Filed under: uncultured bacterium
Lineage: Bacteria
Description: bacterial SSU rRNA
Rfam family: Bacterial small subunit ribosomal RNA
Source: RNAcentral